Molecule: non-coding RNA, 395 nt
Organism: Phascolarctos cinereus (koala)
Lineage: Eukaryota; Metazoa; Chordata; Mammalia; Diprotodontia; Phascolarctidae
Source: RefSeq, a predicted model, not a curated record
CGGUCGUUGCCAACAGUGAUCCGCAAGCUUUGUUCCACUGAAGAUUCAGAACGGAGUCCAGGAGAUCGCCUCUGCAGGGACAAAACAUAAGGAAAUAGUCCAUUCAUCCAUGACCAAAAACCCAGGGAACCCUGCUCAUGACCUUUCACAUGUACAUCAUCACACAGAACCACUCAAGGAAAUGGAAAUUCUGUCACUGGGAUUCAAGACAGACCUCUCAGAAUAAAGAGAAAGAGAAAAGACUGGAGGAAUACCACUUUUUCCUUUUCUGCUGGGAAGCCUGGCAAGACAAGAGCUGUCUAUCCCAAGCCCCGGGGGGUGGCUGAAGCCCCAAAUGACUGCAGUGCCUCCAAGGCAGGAUUGCUCAGGAAAAUAAACCACUGCACUGCCAUUAC